ACAGUACACUAUUUGCUCAUGGCACCUGAGCCUCUCCAGUCUUGAGGCCUACCCCUUCCCUCCCUUCUCUGGUGAAGAGAGAUGUGACUCAUCUCUGCAGCUCUUUUGGAUGCAGAGGUCUGACGCUCUCUGACUCUAUAGUUACCAGGAAGGCUGUCUCACCCAAGCCCAGACAGUCAUGGGCCCUACUAGGCCAGUUAAACCUUGGAGUCAAACACAGUAGCAUUAGGAUUUAGCAAGGAAAGACAUAGUUGGAAAAUUUUCCAUUUUGAGAUCUGGGAAAAGAGGUAAGUCUUCUGCCACCUAGAAGGUGAGCUCCCUACCCCUGCUCCCCGAGCUUUUCCUUCUGAAACAAGAAAUGUUUCUCUUGGGAGUCGUAUGGGUGUGGGGGCAAGGCUUGCUUUGUUCCCGAAACCAUCCUUCACAGGUUGAAGUCGAUGAGGUGCCAGGAAUUGGUACCUAGGUGCCUCGGAUCCUGUUUGUGACCAAACUUGCUACACCAGAUGCAGUAAUGAGAAUUUAGGUGGCCCCUCUGGUCUCUGAAGAAACCUGAUGUUUUGGAAGUUACUCCUGCCCUGACUGCUCUAGGUAGGCCUGAUUCUCAAAGGGACACCUCAUAGCACCUUAUCACAUGACUUGCUGCAGAACCCUCUCAGCCCCAGAUCUCUCUGCAACUGGCCUAGAAAACAGCGAGGGCUCCUAGGUCACCAGCACACAGGGACAGAUACUCGACGCUGCUUGUGACAGCAUUGCAAGCACAUGCCUGACAUACUUUGGAAAGGCUGCCUGGUUCUAUUACUGGUGCAUGAAAGUUUUGCUCCAGUAGGAAAUCUCUAAAUUUAGAUGAUUUUCAGGAUGAACUCUGAGUGAUCUUUGUCCCCAACACGAGUAAGGAAUUGGAGGGCACCUUGCUUUUUAUUUUAUUUAUUUAUUUAUUUAAUUUUAUUUUAAAUGCCAGAGUUGAUGUUUUAUAAUGCAAAACUUUUGAAGAUUGCCAUUUUUUACAAAAUAAAUUUAUUUAUUUAUUUUUGGCUGUGUUGGGUCUUCGUUGCUGUGCGUGGGCUUUUUCUAGUUGUGGCGAGCAGGGUCUACUCUUCAUUGUGGUGCGCAGGCUUCUCAUUGUGGUGGCUUCUCUUGUGCGGAGCACGGGCUCUAGGCGUGCGGACUUCAGUAGUUGUGGCUUGCAGGCUCUAGAGCGCAGGC
This is a long non-coding RNA of Physeter macrocephalus (sperm whale), 1203 nucleotides long. RefSeq lists it as uncharacterized. NCBI's taxonomy places the organism in Eukaryota, Metazoa, Chordata, Mammalia, Artiodactyla, Physeteridae. The record is from RefSeq and is a predicted model, not a curated record. The transcript is spliced from 3 exons.